UAUUGCCACUAUGAAGAAGAAUCUCUGUAAACUAAUUACAGUAAGUUAUAUAAAUUCAAUAAAUUUUCAUAAACAUCCAACAUCAACACACAUAAGGAGCAUCCAUACCAAUUGAGAAUCAAAACCAUUUAUAUGCUCAGCUCACUCUUGGCAUAACUCCACACCAGUCUUUAUCACAUAAAAGUAUUCAAGUAAUCGAGACCAAAACUAUAACACUUCUGUUGAGGAGAGUAUAAAUCAAAAUUUUCUUUUCAUUAAAAGGAGCAAAGAAGAAACACUAAAUUCACAUUAGAAUAUAUCUAUAUUUAAAAAUGGAAUAAUGUGCUGAUUGCAUGAUUUUUAAAGUUAAGUAUAAUAGUUUCCAUGACAAGACUCCUAUAUUGUGUUUCUACCAUUAUGAUAAAGGAUUUAUUUCUAUAAUUGUUAAUCAAAAGCUUAGUGCCUUCACUCGACUAAGCAUCUUAUGUGGG
RNAcentral lists this unclassified non-coding RNA (470 nucleotides) under Hevea brasiliensis (rubber tree). The record is from RNAcentral. Lineage: Eukaryota; Viridiplantae; Streptophyta; Magnoliopsida; Malpighiales; Euphorbiaceae.